Molecule: long non-coding RNA, 471 nt
Organism: Neltuma alba
Lineage: Eukaryota; Viridiplantae; Streptophyta; Magnoliopsida; Fabales; Fabaceae
Exons: 2
Source: RefSeq, a predicted model, not a curated record
UGACACAGUCACGAUUUCUGCUGCUGAGUAUGCCCAGUUAAAAUCUACUACACCGUCUGUGAGUGCCGCAGCUACAACAGGAUCUUUUGACGAGGCGGAUUAUUGGUAGAGGUUAUGAAUCUGGCGGGCACUAUAUACUGGAUGAUCGGGUGUCUCAUGCGGUAGCUUGCGCUAGCAGUCAUUCUCCCUUUGAAGUUCAUUGUCGAUUGGGUCAUUUGUCUCUAUCUUCUCUUAAGAAAGUUUAUCCUCAAUUUCAACAUUUGUCGUCUUUAGAUUGUGAGUCAUGUCAAUUUGCCAAGCAUCAUCGUCUUCCUUUAGUGUCUCGUGUCAAUAAACGGGUUUCAUCCCCUUUUGAGUUAGUCCAUUCUGAUGUUUGGGGUCCUUGUCCUGUAGAGUCCAAAGCAGGGUUUAAAUACUUUGUUACAUUUGUUGAUGAUUAUUCCCGGACAACUUGGUUAUAUUUAAUGAAAA